Molecule: ribosomal RNA, 531 nt
Filed under: uncultured Bacillota bacterium
Lineage: Bacteria; Bacillati; Bacillota
Description: bacterial SSU rRNA
Rfam family: Bacterial small subunit ribosomal RNA
Source: RNAcentral
GAGUUGAUCCUGGCUCAGGACGAACGCUGGCGGCAUGCCUAAUACAUGCAAGUUGAGCGCUGAAGGUUGGUACUUGUACCGACUGGAUGAGCAGCGAACGGGUGAGUAACGCGUGGGGAAUCUGCCUUUGAGCGGGGGACAACAUUUGGAAACGAAUGCUAAUACCGCAUAAAAACUUUAAACACAAGUUUUAAGUUUGAAAGAUGCAAUUGCAUCACUCAAAGAUGAUCCCGCGUUGUAUUAGCUAGUUGGUGAGGUAAAGGCUCACCAAGGCGAUGAUACAUAGCCGACCUGAGAGGGUGAUCGGCCACAUUGGGACUGAGACACGGCCCAAACUCCUACGGGAGGCAGCAGUAGGGAAUCUUCGGCAAUGGACGAAAGUCUGACCGAGCAACGCCGCGUGAGUGAAGAAGGUUUUCGGAUCGUAAAACUCUGUUGGUAGAGAAGAACGUUGGUGAGAGUGGAAAGCUCAUCAAGUGACGGUAACUACCCAGAAAGGGACGGCUAACUACGUGCCAGCAGCCGCGGUAA